AUGAACGCUGGCGGCGUGCCUAAUACAUGCAAGUCGAGCGAACAGACGAUGUGUUUGCUCCUCUGACGUUAGCGGCGUACUGGUGAGUAACACGGUGAUAACCUACCUAUGAGUCUGGGAUUACGUCGGGAAACCGGAGCUAAUACCGGAUAAUAGUGUGAUCCGCAUGGUUCAAUAGUGAAAGACGUGUGUUUGUUCACGUAUAGGUGUGGCCGCGCCGCAUUAGCUAGUUGGUAAGGUAACGGCUUACCAAGGCAACGAUGCGUAGCCGACCUGAGAGGGUGAUCGGCCACACUGGAACUGAGACACGGUCCAGACUCCUACGGGAGCACGCAGUAGGCACACUUCCGCAAUGGGCGAAAGCUUGACGGAGCAACGCCGCGUGAGAGAUGAAGGAAUUCGGAUCGUAAAACUCUGUUAUUAGGGAAGACAAAAAAUGUAAGUAACUAUGCACGUCUUGACGGUACCUAAUCAGAAAGCCACGGCUAACUACGUG
This 496-nucleotide ribosomal RNA is filed under the name uncultured bacterium. RNAcentral describes it as "partial 16S ribosomal RNA". It matches the Rfam family "Bacterial small subunit ribosomal RNA", at positions 29 to 507 of the family's 1533-position model. The record is from RNAcentral.